GACGAACGCUGGCGGCGUGCUUAACACAUGCAAGUCGAACGGGCCCGCUCUCUUUUUUGGGGGUGGGUUGAGUGGCGAACGGGUGAGUAUCACGUGAGUAACCUGCCCCCUGCUCCUGGAUAACUGCUUGAAAGGGCGGCUAAUACGGGGUGUGCCGGCUGGUCCGCAUGGGCCUGGUCGGGAUAGUUUCAUCUUCGGGUGUUUCGGUGGGGGAUGGGCUCGCGGCCUAUCAGCUUGUUGGUGGGGUGGUGGCCCACCAAGGCGGUGACGGGUAGCCGGCCUGAGAGGGUGGGCGGCCACACUGGGACUGAGACACGGCCCAGACUCCUGCGGGAGGCAGCAGUGGGGGGUAUUGCACAAUGGGCGGAAGCCUGAUGCAGCGACGUCGCGUGAGGGAUGGAGGCCUUCGGGUUGUGAACCUCUUUCUCCGGUGGUGAAGGCCCUGUCCGUUGCGGCGGGGUUGACGGUAGCCGGGUAUGAAGCGCCGGCUAACUACGUG
RNAcentral lists this ribosomal RNA (499 nucleotides) under uncultured bacterium. RNAcentral's name for it is "partial 16S ribosomal RNA". It matches the Rfam family "Bacterial small subunit ribosomal RNA", at positions 28 to 507 of the family's 1533-position model. The record is from RNAcentral.